AACUCGCUCAACGACCAAUUUCUUUAGCCACUUCAUCGCCCACAUAUUCCAGGUAUUAGUCUGAUGCCUUUCUCUAAGGUUAUGAUCUUUCCAAAAUCCCCCAUGGUUAGAUCAUAAGUAGAAUGAAAAUUUUAGAGUCCUAAGUAUGGCCUUUCUAAGGUUCUCUUUUAAAAUACAAGUUAAUAGGUUCAUUAUGUUGCAUCACUAGUUUGGUAUCUCUUAAAUUCUAUUUAUUAUUAUGUCUGCAUUCCAUAUUUUGACAAAUUGAAAAAUACCAGUAGACGUUGCUUUAUAUUUUUAUUAUAAAGCAACCAAAUAUUUUAUUACACUAAAAACAAUCUUUAUA
Long non-coding RNA from Vitis riparia (riverbank grape), 346 nucleotides. RefSeq lists it as uncharacterized. The transcript has 2 exons. Lineage: Eukaryota; Viridiplantae; Streptophyta; Magnoliopsida; Vitales; Vitaceae. The record is from RefSeq and is a predicted model, not a curated record.